RNAcentral lists this ribosomal RNA (822 nucleotides) under uncultured bacterium. RNAcentral's name for it is "bacterial SSU rRNA". It matches the Rfam family "Bacterial small subunit ribosomal RNA", at positions 625 to 1446 of the family's 1533-position model. The record is from RNAcentral.
UNUGGAAACUGUCUGACUUGAGUGCAGAAGGGGAGAGUGGAAUUCCAUGUGUAGCGGUGAAAUGCGUAGAUAUAUGGAGGANCACCAGUGGCGAAAGCGGCUCUCUGGUCUGUCACUGACGCUGAGGCUNGAAAGCGUGGGUAGCGAACAGGAUUAGAUACCCUGGUAGUNCACGCCGUAAACGAUGAGUGCUAGGUGUUAGGCCCUUUCCGGGGCUUAGUGCCGGAGCUAACGCAAUAAGCACUCCGCCUGGGGAGUACGACCGCAAGGUUGAAACUCAAAGGAAUUGACGGGGGCCCGCACAAGCGGUGGAGCAUGUGGUUUAAUUCGAAGCAACGCGAAGAACCUCACCAGGUCUUGACAUCCCGAUGCUAUUCUUAGAGAUAGGAAGUUACUUCGGUACAUCGGAGACAGGUGGUGCAUGGUUGUCGUCAGCUCGUGUCGUGAGAUGUUGGGUUAAGUCCCGCAACGAGCGCAACCCUUAUUGUUAGUUGCCAUCAUUAAGUUGGGCACUCUAGCGAGACUGCCGGUAAUAAACCGGAGGAAGGUGGGGAUGACGUCAAAUCAUCAUGCCCCUUAUGACCUGGGCUACACACGUGCUACAAUGGUCGGUACAACGAGUUGCGAGCCGGUGACGGCAAGCUAAUCUCUGAAAGCCGAUCUCAGUUCGGAUUGGAGGCUGCAACUCGCCUCCAUGAAGUCGGAAUCGCUAGUAAUCGCGGAUCAGCACGCCGCGGUGAAUACGUUCCCGGGCCUUGUACACACCGCCCGUCACACCACGAGAGUUUGAAACACCCGAAGUCGGUGAGGUAACCUUUUAGG